GAGUGGAGUGUUACCGCCGCCAUCCUCAGUUUCCAUUCCACACACUCAUCUGAUCUCGAUGGCGACUGCGGCGACAGCCACCACCACCACCCGCAUCACCGCCGGCGCCUUCCACGGCCUCCACACCCACUCCUCCCGCCUGAGCCUCCGCGCCUUUGCGCCGCGACAAACCACCGCUCCCUCCCACCUCCGCCGCCGCCUUCUUACCUGCCGCGCUCUCCGCCGCCCCGAGGUUUCCGUCAAGGAGGCGGGCCUACCCGAGACGCUCGAUUACCG
Molecule: unclassified non-coding RNA, 276 nt
Filed under: Hevea brasiliensis (rubber tree)
Lineage: Eukaryota; Viridiplantae; Streptophyta; Magnoliopsida; Malpighiales; Euphorbiaceae
Source: RNAcentral